GACGAACGCUGGCGGCGUGCUUAACACAUGCAAGUCGAACGGUAAGGCCCUUCGGGGUACACGAGUGGCGAACGGGUGAGUAACAAGUGGGUGAUCUGCCCUGCACUUCGGGAUAAGCAUGGGAAACUGGGUCUAAUACUGGAUAGGACGCCUGGCUUCAUGGUUGGGGGUGGAAAGCUUUCGUGGUGUGGGAUGGGCCCGCGGCCUAUAAGGGUGUGGGUGGGGUAAUGGCCUACCAAGGGGACGACGGGUAGCCGGCCUGAGAGGGUGGCCGGUGACGCUGGGACUGAGCUCAGGCCGAGACUACUACGGGGGGCAGCAGUGGUGAAUAUUGCACCAUGGGCGCAAGCCUGAUGCUGCGACGCCGCGUUCGGGAUGACGGCCUUCGGGUUGUAAACCUCUUUCAGCUAUGACGAAGCGCAAGUGACGGUAGUAGCAGAAGAAGGACCGGCCAACUACGUACCAGCAGCCGCAGUAA
RNAcentral lists this ribosomal RNA (478 nucleotides) under uncultured bacterium. RNAcentral's name for it is "partial 16S ribosomal RNA". It matches the Rfam family "Bacterial small subunit ribosomal RNA", at positions 28 to 523 of the family's 1533-position model. The record is from RNAcentral.